Molecule: ribosomal RNA, 281 nt
Filed under: Ruminococcus champanellensis 18P13 = JCM 17042
Lineage: Bacteria; Bacillati; Bacillota; Clostridia; Eubacteriales; Oscillospiraceae
Description: partial 16S ribosomal RNA
Rfam family: Bacterial small subunit ribosomal RNA
Source: RNAcentral
UAUGGUAAUUGUGUGGCCGCCGCGGUACUACGUAGGGAGCGAGCGUUGUCCGGAAUUACUGGGUGUACAGGGCGCGUAGGCGGGAUCGCAAGUCAGAUGUGAAAACUAUGGGCUUAACCCAUAAACUGCAUUUGAAACUGUGGUUCUUGAGUGAAGUAGAGGUAAGCGGAAUUCCUAGUGUAGCGGUGAAAUGCGUAGAUAUUAGGAGGAACAUCAGUGGCGAAGGCGGCUUACUGGGCUUUAACUGACGCUGAGGCUCGAAAGCGUGGGGAGCAAACAGG